This 726-nucleotide ribosomal RNA is filed under the name uncultured bacterium. RNAcentral describes it as "bacterial SSU rRNA". It matches the Rfam family "Bacterial small subunit ribosomal RNA", at positions 789 to 1515 of the family's 1533-position model. The record is from RNAcentral.
GGUAGUCCACGCCGUAAACGAUGUCGACUUGGAGGUUGUGCCCUUGAGGCGUGGCUUCCGGAGCUAACGCGUUAAGUCGACCGCCUGGGGAGUACGGCCGCAAGGUUAAAACUCAAAUGAAUUGACGGGGGCCCGCACAAGCGGUGGAGCAUGUGGUUUAAUUCGAUGCAACGCGAAGAACCUUACCUACUCUUGACAUCCAGAGAACUUAGCAGAGAUGCUUUGGUGCCUUCGGGAACUCUGAGACAGGUGCUGCAUGGCUGUCGUCAGCUCGUGUUGUGAAAUGUUGGGUUAAGUCCCGCAACGAGCGCAACCCUUAUCCUUUGUUGCCAGCGGUUAGGCCGGGAACUCAAAGGAGACUGCCAGUGAUAAACUGGAGGAAGGUGGGGAUGACGUCAAGUCAUCAUGGCCCUUACGAGUAGGGCUACACACGUGCUACAAUGGCGCAUACAAAGAGAAGCGACCUCGCGAGAGCAAGCGGACCUCAUAAAGUGCGUCGUAGUCCGGAUUGGAGUCUGCAACUCGACUCCAUGAAGUCGGAAUCGCUAGUAAUCGUAGAUCAGAAUGCUACGGUGAAUACGUUCCCGGGCCUUGUACACACCGCCCGUCACACCAUGGGAGUGGGUUGCAAAAGAAGUAGCUAGUCUAACCUUCGGGAGGACGGUUACCACGGUGUGAUUCAUGACUGGGGUGAAGUCGUAACAAGGUAGCCGUAGGGGAACCUGC